CCCCCUCCCCCAGACUUUGGUCUCCUUCGAACACGACCCCCUCCCCCUCCAUCAGUCUGGUUUUCUUCUUCUCCAAAUCCUCUCACCAACCUAACGACCCUAGGGACUAAGAAAAACAGAGUAAUUGCAGCUUCUUCAACUCCUCUCGCCCACCAGCGGCGAACUCGCCGGAAAAUGCACAGCCAAAACUCGUCAUCACCCUAGCUCCUUUAUCACCUUCAACUACUUCACUCUCUCUCAUUGGAGAUAUCACCGACGACUCGUUCUAGUUCAAAACUACCGAGUCUCUGCCAAAGCUGGUCAAACAGGUGAAGUCUGGCGAGAGACCUGGCGAGUGUCGAGGUCCGGUCGUAAUUCCAUUGAGGUUUCCGGCGAAGCCUUGAUCUAAUGGUUCGAGGACAUCACCAGGUCAGUGGCUAGCAUUGGACACUUUGGUCUCCGAGAGGUCUCUUUUCUCCUCUUUUUAAUUCUUCUAAUUUUUCUUUUUUUCCAUGAUAUUUAUUGAAUUUUGUCUACAUUAAUUUGUGUUUAAGAUAAAAUGAUAUGCUUAUUAUUAUGUGGUUGGAAUUACGUUAAUAUCAUGAAUCAAUUGAAUAGGGGUUUAGUUUUUUAAAGAUUUGACGUCAUGUAUAGCCAUAUAUUAGGCGUUUUCUUAUUUCAAUUUCAUAUGCAAUCCAUUUGAGUGCUGGAGAUUUGCACAUCAAUCUUAGAUUUAUGUUUCAGAAAACAUAUUUUGGUCAAAUAAAAUUUUGGAAAAGGGAACAAAAUAAAGUAGCUCAAAUGGGUUUUAAGGUUGGGCAGUUGGUUAAUCUCAUUAAUAAUCCAAUUUUUCUUAUCUAUUUUGAAUAGUUUCCUUGGAAAGUAAACAUCUCAAAUUAGCUUUUAAAAAAUAUUCAAACUAAUGAAUCUCGUAGUUGCUUUAGGCGCGAUUUUAAUUAAAUUACCUUCUUAAACUCGGGUGCGCAUUGAUGUGAUCCAAAUCCAAAUCUCGACGAAGUCAAAAUAUAUUGACAACCACGGGUGCAUUGAUUGUGACGUGGUUCAAAACGCGUUUUCACGACAUCGCAAUUCUUUUAAAAUAAAUAAUAAUAAAAAGCGGUUUACGAAUAAAAGGCACCUAAGCUAGCAGGUAUUAAAAUAAGAUAAAAUCAAAUGCAAAAGUUAAGCGACCGUGCUAAAACCACGGAACUUGGGAAUGCCUAACACCUUCUCCCGGGUUAACAGAAUUCCUUACUCGGAUUUCUGGUUCGUAGACUGUUAACAGAGUCAAAUGUUUCCUCGGUUCGGGAUACAACCGGUGACUUGGGACACCAUUAAUCUCUCAAGUGGCGACUCUGAAUAAUCAAUAAUUAAAUCCCGUUCCGAUUGUCCUUUAAAUGGAAAAAAUCCUUUACGCCCUUCCGGGGGUGUAGGUGAAAAAGGAGGUGUGACACACCUGUUUAGUGGGAUUUCAGACAGGAUUUUUGAUCAUUUUACAACUUUCUCAAACCCUAAACAUACUUAGGCGAUUUUUUAAAGGCUCAAACUUCUCCAAAUCAUAAGUAAGUGAUUUCUAACUCAUCUUCUUCUAUCUAAUCCAUCUUUUUACAUAAAUUCACUUUACAAUCUAGGGUUUUUCAUGGGAAAUUGGGUGUGUUUGGGUAGAAAUUAGGAUUUUAAAAUUUUGGGGAUUUGGACCUCAAUUUGAGGUCGGAUUUCAAUACUAAUUGAAUAUUUGAGUUCCUAAAUGAAUGAGUAAUCGAGUUUUGGUUCGAAUUUUGAGUUUUGGCCAAGCGGGCCAGAGGGCAAUUUUAUACUUUUUGGGAAAAAACAAUGGAAAAUUUAUUUUCAUGCAUUAGAAUUGGUUUAUUUAGCAUUUAUUGAUGUUAUUAAAUAAAUUAUGACUAGAUACAAGCGGAUUGAAAGUGGAAUCGAGAGGUAAAGCGGUAAUUGAGGCUUAAUC
This 1942-nucleotide long non-coding RNA is filed under the name Nicotiana tabacum (common tobacco). RNAcentral describes it as "long non-coding RNA (NTAB_LNC004878)". The record is from RNAcentral. Lineage: Eukaryota; Viridiplantae; Streptophyta; Magnoliopsida; Solanales; Solanaceae.